GAUGAACGCUGGCGGCGUGCCUAAUACAUGCAAGUCGAGCGAACGGACGAGAAGCUUGCUUCUCUGAUGUUAGCGGCGGACGGGUGAGUAACACGUGGAUAACCUACCUAUAAGACUGGGAUAACUUCGGGAAACCGGAGCUAAUACCGGAUAAUAUUUUGAACCGCAUGGUUCAAAAGUGAAAGACGGUCUUGCUGUCACUUAUAGAUGGAUCCGCGCUGCAUUAGCUAGUUGGUAAGGUAACGGCUUACCAAGGCAACGAUGCAUAGCCGACCUGAGAGGGUGAUCGGCCACACUGGAACUGAGACACGGUCCAGACUCCUACGGGAGGCAGCAGUAGGGAAUCUUCCGCAAUGGGCGAAAGCCUGACGGAGCAACGCCGCGUGAGUGAUGAAGGUCUUCGGAUCGUAAAACUCUGUUAUUAGGGAAGAACAUAUGUGUAAGUAACUGUGCACAUCUUGACGGUACCUAAUCAGAAAGCCACGGCUAACUACGUGCCAGCAGCCGCGGUAAUACGUAGGCGGCAAGCGUUAUCCGGAAUUAUUGGGCGUAAAGCGCGCGUAGGCGGUUUUUUAAGUCUGAUGUGAAAGCCCACGGCUCAACCGUGGAGGGUCAUUGGAAACUGGAAAACUUGAGUGCAGAAGAGGAAAGUGGAAUUCCAUGUGUAGCGGUGAAAUGCGCAGAGAUAUGGAGGAACACCAGUGGCGAAGGCGACUUUCUGGUCUGUAACUGACGCUGAUGUGCGAAAGCGUGGGGAUCAAACAGGAUUAGAUACCCUGGUAGUCCACGCCGUAAACGAUGAGUGCUAAGUGUUAGGGGGUUUCCGCCCCUUAGUGCUGCAGCUAACGCAUUAAGCACUCCGCCUGGGGAGUACGACCGCAAGGUUGAAACUCAAAGGAAUUGACGGGGACCCGCACAAGCGGUGGAGCAUGUGGUUUAAUUCGAAGCAACGCGAAGAACCUUACCAAAUCUUGACAUCCUUUGACAACUCUAGAGAUAGAGCCUUCCCCUUCGGGGGGCAAAGUGACAGGUGGUGCAUGGUUGUCGUCAGCUCGUGUCGUGAGAUGUUGGGUUAAGUCCCGCAACGAGCGCAACCCUUAAGCUUAGUUGCCAUCAUUAAGUUGGGCACUCUAAGUUGACUGCCGGUGACAAACCGGAGGAAGGUGGGGAUGACGUCAAAUCAUCAUGCCCCUUAUGAUUUGGGCUACACACGUGCUACAAUGGACAAUACAAAGGGCAGCGAAACCGCGAGGUCAAGCAAAUCCCAUAAAGUUGUUCUCAGUUCGGAUUGUAGUCUGCAACUCGACUACAUGAAGCUGGAAUCGCUAGUAAUCGUAGAUCAGCAUGCUACGGUGAAUACGUUCCCGGGUCU
RNAcentral lists this ribosomal RNA (1372 nucleotides) under uncultured bacterium. Its description in RNAcentral is "bacterial SSU rRNA". It matches the Rfam family "Bacterial small subunit ribosomal RNA", at positions 28 to 1381 of the family's 1533-position model. The record is from RNAcentral.